Molecule: long non-coding RNA, 455 nt
Filed under: Nicotiana benthamiana
Lineage: Eukaryota; Viridiplantae; Streptophyta; Magnoliopsida; Solanales; Solanaceae
Description: long non-coding RNA (NBEN_LNC037516)
Source: RNAcentral
CGGAUUCAUAGUUUUUGUCGCUGGAUGGGAGUCUCUUCAUAAUAUCUUCUUCAUUUGACUUCUUUUAUGCAAUUUCUUUGAUCAUUUUCUUUUGCGCACAUACUGUGACAUAUAGUCUCAUCCUCUAACUUAAGUUGCAUUCUUUGCAGGUUGUUUUUGAUCAUGAUGGUAAGAGUUGUUAUUGUAUCAUUUCUUUCUCUUUGACCAUUCUCAGUUUUCGUCUUUGUUAUGUCUUGAGCUUUUGGCUUCGUUUCUCUAAUUGCAUCGCCAUUGUUUCAUGCGUAUCACUUUUUGAUUUGACAGAGCCUAUGCAGUUUUGGUGUAUGUUUUUCCUUGCUUAUCUCAUUUUUAUCGAUACAAUUCUCUGCUGUUAUUGUACUUCCUAAAGCAUUUGAUAUAGUUAUAAUCCUGAAACGUUAUUUAUCAAAGGCAAUAUGUUAUUCAGAAUUUGUGAC